Molecule: ribosomal RNA, 1260 nt
Filed under: Enterococcus durans
Lineage: Bacteria; Bacillati; Bacillota; Bacilli; Lactobacillales; Enterococcaceae
Description: bacterial SSU rRNA
Rfam family: Bacterial small subunit ribosomal RNA
Source: RNAcentral
UGUCAGGCGGCGAGACUAUACAUGCAGUCGUAACAAUGUGCUAAUACUCCACCGGAGCUUGCUCCACCGGAAAAAGAAGAGUGGCGAACGGGUGAGUAACACGUGGGUAACCUGCCCAUCAGAAGGGGAUAACACUUGGAAACAGGUGCUAAUACCGUAUAACAAUCAAAACCGCAUGGUUUUGAUUUGAAAGGCGCUUUCGGGUGUCGCUGAUGGAUGGACCCGCGGUGCAUUAGCUAGUUGGUGAGGUAACGGCUCACCAAGGCCACGAUGCAUAGCCGACCUGAGAGGGUGAUCGGCCACAUUGGGACUGAGACACGGCCCAAACUCCUACGGGAGGCAGCAGUAGGGAAUCUUCGGCAAUGGACGAAAGUCUGACCGAGCAACGCCGCGUGAGUGAAGAAGGUUUUCGGAUCGUAAAACUCUGUUGUUAGAGAAGAACAAGGAUGAGAGUAACUGUUCAUCCCUUGACGGUAUCUAACCAGAAAGCCACGGCUAACUACGUGCCAGCAGCCGCGGUAAUACGUAGGUGGCAAGCGUUGUCCGGAUUUAUUGGGCGUAAAGCGAGCGCAGGCGGUUUCUUAAGUCUGAUGUGAAAGCCCCCGGCUCAACCGGGGAGGGUCAUUGGAAACUGGGAGACUUGAGUGCAGAAGAGGAGAGUGGAAUUCCAUGUGUAGCGGUGAAAUGCGUAGAUAUAUGGAGGAACACCAGUGGCGAAGGCGGCUCUCUGGUCUGUAACUGACGCUGAGGCUCGAAAGCGUGGGGAGCAAACAGGAUUAGAUACCCUGGUAGUCCACGCCGUAAACGAUGAGUGCUAAGUGUUGGAGGGUUUCCGCCCUUCAGUGCUGCAGCUAACGCAUUAAGCACUCCGCCUGGGGAGUACGACCGCAAGGUUGAAACUCAAAGGAAUUGACGGGGCCCGCACAAGCGGUGGAGCAUGUGGUUUAAUUCGAAGCAACGCGAAGAACCUUACCAGGUCUUGACAUCCUUUGACCCCUCUAGAGAUAGAGCUUCCCCUUCGGGGGCAAAGUGACAGUGUGCAUGUUGUCGUCAGCUCGUGUCGUGAGAUGUGGGUAGUCCCGCACGAGCGCACCCUAUGUAGUGGCAUCAUCAGUGGGCACUCUAGCAGACUGCGGUGACAACGGAGGAGGUGGGGAUGACGUCAUCAUCAUGCCCUUAUGACUUGCUACACGGCUAAUGAGUACACAGUGCGAGUCGAGGCUAGCUAUCUCUUAGCCUCUCUAGAUUCGGAGUGCGGGU